GACGAACGCUGGCGGCGCGCCUAACACAUGCAAGUCGAACGGAGCUGAGAGAAGCUUGCUUUUCUUAGCUUAGUGGCGCACGGGUGAGUAACGCGUGAGUAACCUGCCCUGGAGUGGGGGACAACAGUUGGAGACGACUGCUAAUACCGCAUAAGCCCACGAUCCGGCAUCGGGUUGAGGGAAAAGGAUUUAUUCGCUUCAGGAUGGACUCGCGUCCAAUUAGCUAGUUGGUGAGGUAACGGCCCACCAAGGCGACGAUUGGUAGCCGGACGGAGAGGUUGAACGGCCACAUUUGGACUGAGACACGGCCCAGACUCCUACGGGAGGCAGCAGUGGGGGAUAUUGCACAAUGGGGGAAACCCUGAUGCAGCGACGCCGCGUGGAGGAAGAAGGUUUUCGGAUUGUAAAUUCCUGUCGUUAGGGACGAUAAUGACGGUACCUAACAAGAAAGCACCGGCUAACUACGUG
RNAcentral lists this ribosomal RNA (468 nucleotides) under uncultured bacterium. Its description in RNAcentral is "partial 16S ribosomal RNA". It matches the Rfam family "Bacterial small subunit ribosomal RNA", at positions 28 to 507 of the family's 1533-position model. The record is from RNAcentral.